RNAcentral lists this ribosomal RNA (253 nucleotides) under uncultured bacterium. RNAcentral describes it as "partial 16S ribosomal RNA". It matches the Rfam family "Bacterial small subunit ribosomal RNA", at positions 524 to 776 of the family's 1533-position model. The record is from RNAcentral.
UACGUAGGGGGCAAGCGUUGUCCGGAUUUAUUGGGCGUAAAGAGCGUGUAGGCGGCCAGGCAGGUCCGUUGUGAAAACUCGAGGCUCAACCUCGAGACGGCGAUGGAAACCGUCUGGCUAGAGUCCGGAAGAGGAGAGUGGAAUUCCUGGUGUAGCGGUGAAAUGCGCAGAUAUCAGGAAGAACACCUAUGGCGAAGGCAGCUCUCUGGGACGGUACUGACGCUGAGACGCGAAAGCGUGGGGAGCGAACAGG